This 123-nucleotide transfer RNA is filed under the name Opeltia flavorubescens. Its description in RNAcentral is "tRNA-Arg (CCT) (tRNA-Arg-CCT-1-1)". It matches the Rfam family "tRNA". From Rfam's summary of the family: Transfer RNA (tRNA) molecules are approximately 80 nucleotides in length. Their secondary structure includes four short double-helical elements and three loops (D, anti-codon, and T loops). The record is from RNAcentral. Lineage: Eukaryota; Fungi; Ascomycota; Lecanoromycetes; Teloschistales; Teloschistaceae.
GGGGGGUUGGCGCAAUGGUGCGAAUUACCCUUUUUCGAUUAUGAUUUCUUGAACUAAUAGUCAUGCAGGUAGCGCGUGUCUCUCCUAAAGACAAGGUUGAGGGUUCGAGUCCCUUGCUCCUCG